Molecule: ribosomal RNA, 119 nt
Filed under: Pteropus alecto (black flying fox)
Lineage: Eukaryota; Metazoa; Chordata; Mammalia; Chiroptera; Pteropodidae
Source: RNAcentral
CACUACAGCCAUGCCACCCUGAACAAGCCGGAUCCUGUCUGAUCUCGGAAGCUAAGCAGGGUCGGGUCCGGUUAGUACUUGGAUGGGAGACCACCCAGGAAGACCAGGUGCUAUAGGUG